This 259-nucleotide long non-coding RNA is filed under the name Elaeis guineensis (African oil palm). RNAcentral's name for it is "long non-coding RNA (EGUI_LNC008327)". Lineage: Eukaryota; Viridiplantae; Streptophyta; Magnoliopsida; Arecales; Arecaceae. The record is from RNAcentral.
GGCACCUUCCACCUUACAGUCCCUAUCAAGGCCCAGGGAUCAUCACACCCCCCAGUUUGAGUAGAUUCCUUCAGAGGUCCGGGCUUAUUGUAUUUAGGAGUACUGAAAUUCUAUGGAGUUCAGGAGGGAGAUAGUUGACAUUGCUAUCGGUGGAUUCAUCGAUGGUUUCAAGAAUUAUAAGGUCCACCUGCUGUAGAUAAUGCCAUAUUUGGAGAUCCACCCCUUUCAGCUCGAAAAUAGCGAUGAGGAGGCUUCCUCA